CCAUCUACUAAAAUUCCAUUCUACUUCCCGCGUUGUUCCUUCUGCUUCUCCCUAUCUCGCUCACUCUUUUCUGUCUUUCCCUCCUACUUCACCCGCUUCACCCACAUCGUUCUUUCUUCUUCUCUCUUUCCCUCCACUCCUCAUAUGCUGUAAAUCAUUUUGGGGCUGCUUCAAACCCACUCCUCAUCCUCUGUAAGUCAUUUUGGGGCUUCUUCGAGUUGCUAUCGCAAUCAGUGUUCAACCCCAAUUUCUAAUUACGAUUUGAGUUCAGCAAAAGUGUCAGACAAUGGCCAGGGAGAGGGCUCGUAACAAGGUGAAUCACCACUUAGGCCGAGCUUCUUAUGCAACUCUUCUCCAUCAGAUGGAGGAGGAAAGCAAACAAAACAAUGCUCCCCCCUAGGUGAGAGGACCUAUUCAAGAGGGCCCACACAAACUCCCCAGGGGAGUUCUAUGAUCCCGAGGCAAGGGAACUUGCUGCCAAAAUGACAACAUAUAUGGCAGAGCAAGCAGAAGAUGGCGCAUGGGUUGAGGCCAUUGGUCCCCAUGAUGCACUGGCAGCAGUUUUGGGAGAUGGGCAUCCAUCACGGGUGUGCUGUUUGGGCUUUGGCCCGACCCCAAAGCAUGCUUUUGGUACUACAAGGUCUGGAAGCACCUCUCAAACUACAACUUCCACCAUGUACAUGACACAUUUGGAGCAAGAGAACCAACAACUUCGGGCAAAAGUGGACAAUCUUCAAUCGAACAUGGUGAGUCUGAAUUCACAUGUGCUACAUUUGCAAUCAUUCAUGGAGCAGAUGGCGCAACAAUAUGGCAUGCCUAUGCCUGAUCCAUUCCCCACGCUCAAUACAAUUCAAGAUAUUGAAUAGAUACCUAACAUAGGGUCUCCUCGUGCACAUGCAAUGAGUAGGGAGAGGGAGAAUGCCAAUGCAAAGGGGAAAUCUCUCUGUUUUGGAUGAUAUAUUUUUCUUCCUUUUUCAUAUACUUUUUGUAUAAACAUAAAUGUUUA
This is a long non-coding RNA of Nelumbo nucifera (sacred lotus), 1006 nucleotides long. RefSeq lists it as uncharacterized. NCBI's taxonomy places the organism in Eukaryota, Viridiplantae, Streptophyta, Magnoliopsida, Proteales, Nelumbonaceae. The record is from RefSeq and is a predicted model, not a curated record.